RNAcentral lists this transfer RNA (78 nucleotides) under Ledebouriella seseloides. RNAcentral's name for it is "tRNA-Val". The record is from RNAcentral. Lineage: Eukaryota; Viridiplantae; Streptophyta; Magnoliopsida; Apiales; Apiaceae.
AGGGCUAUAGCUCAGUUAGGUAGAGCACCUCGUUUACACGCUUCUAAACAUUCAGACAAUAAAAAGAAAAAAAUAUUG